Molecule: ribosomal RNA, 961 nt
Filed under: uncultured bacterium
Lineage: Bacteria
Description: bacterial SSU rRNA
Rfam family: Bacterial small subunit ribosomal RNA
Source: RNAcentral
GGAAUCUUCGGAUUCUAGUGGCGGACGGGUGAGUAACGCGUAAGAAUCUAACUUCAGGACGGGGACAACAGUUGGAAACGACUGCUAAUACCCGAUGUGCCGCAAGGUGAAACCUAAUUGGCCUGAAGAAGAGCUUGCGUCUGAUUAGCUAGUUGGUGGGGUAAGAGCCUACCAAGGCGACGAUCAGUAGCUGGUCUGAGAGGAUGAGCAGCCACACUGGGGCUGAGACACGGCCCAGACUCCUACGGGAGGCAGCAGUGGGGAAUUUUCCGCAAUGGGCGAAAGCCUGACGGAGCAACGCCGCGUGAGGGAGGAAGGUCUUUGGAUUGUAAACCUCUUUUCUCAAGGAAGAAGUUCUGACGGUACUUGAGGAAUCAGCCUCGGCUAACUCCGUGCCAGCAGCCGCGGUAAUACGGGGGAGGCAAGCGUUAUCCGGAAUUAUUGGGCGUAAAGCGUCCGCAGGUGGUCAGCCAAGUCUGCUGUCAAAUCAGGUUGCUUAACGACCUAAAGGCGGUGGAAACUGGCAGUCUAGAGAGCAGUAGGGGUAGCAGGAAUUCCCAGUGUAGCGGUGAAAUGCGUAGAGAUUGGGAAGAACAUCGGUGGCGAAAGCGUGCUACUGGGCUGUAUCUGACACUCAGGGACGAAAGCUAGGGGAGCGAAAGGGAUUAGAUACCCCUGUAGUCCUAGCCGUAAACGAUGGAUACUAGGCGUGGCUUGUAUCGACCCGAGCCGUGCCGAAGCUAACGCGUUAAGUAUCCCGCCUGGGGAGUACGCACGCAAGUGUGAAACUCAAAGGAAUUGACGGGGGCCCGCACAAGCGGUGGAGUAUGUGGUUUAAUUCGAUGCAACGCGAAGAACCUUACCAAGACUUGACAUGUCGCGAACCCNNGNGAAAGCUAGGGGUGCCUUCGGGAGCGCGAACACNGGNGGUGCAUGGCUGUCGUCAGCUCGUGUCGUGAGA